Molecule: ribosomal RNA, 460 nt
Filed under: uncultured bacterium
Lineage: Bacteria
Description: partial 16S ribosomal RNA
Rfam family: Bacterial small subunit ribosomal RNA
Source: RNAcentral
CCUACGGGAGGCAGCAGUGAGGGAUAUUGGUCAAUGGACGAGAGUCUGAACCAGCCAAGUAGCGUGAAGGAUGACUGCCCUAUGGGUUGUAAACUUCUUUUAUAUGGGAAUAAAAUGUUCCACGUGUGGGAUUUUGUAUGUACCAUAUGAAUAAGGAUCGGCUAACUCCGUGCCAGCAGCCGCGGUAAUACGGAGGAUCCGAGCGUUAUCCGGAUUUAUUGGGUUUAAAGGGAGCGUAGGUGGAUUGUUAAGUCAGUUGUGAAAGUUUGCGGCUCAACCGUAAAAUUGCAGUUGAAACUGGCAGUCUUGAGGACAGUAGAGGUGGGCGGAAUUCGUGGUGUAGCGGUGAAAUGCUUAGAUAUCACGAAGAACUCCGAUUGCGAAGGCAGUUCACUGGACUGCAACUGACACUGAGGCUCGAAAGUGUGGGUAUCAAACAGGAUUAGAUACCCUAGUAGUC